Papio anubis (olive baboon) is the source of this 148-nucleotide unclassified non-coding RNA. It matches the Rfam family "Metazoan signal recognition particle RNA". From Rfam's summary of the family: The signal recognition particle (SRP) is a universally conserved ribonucleoprotein. NCBI's taxonomy places the organism in Eukaryota, Metazoa, Chordata, Mammalia, Primates, Cercopithecidae. The record is from Ensembl.
GCUGGGUGUGGUGGUGCACUCCUGUAGUCCCAACCACUUGGGAGGCUGAGGUGGGAGGAUCGCUUGAGCCUGGGAAUGGGAGGCUGCAGUGAGCUGUGAUGGCACCACUGCACUCCAACCUGGGCAACAGAGCGAGACCUUGUCUCUA